GUAACACGUGGGUAACCUGCCCUAAAGUGGGGGAUAACAUUUGGAAACAGAUGCUAAUACCGCAUAAAACCUAACACCGCAUGGUGUAGGGUUGAAAGAUGGUUUCGGCUAUCACUUUAGGAUGGACCCGCGGUGCAUUAGUUAGUUGGUGAGGUAAAGGCUCACCAAGACCGUGAUGCAUAGCCGACCUGAGAGGGUAAUCGGCCACACUGGGACUGAGACACGGCCCAGACUCCUACGGGAGGCAGCAGUAGGGAAUCUUCCACAAUGGACGAAAGUCUGAUGGAGCAACGCCGCGUGAGUGAAGAAGGUUUUCGGAUCGUAAAACUCUGUUGUUGGAGAAGAAUGUAUCUGAUAGUAACUGAUCAGGUAGUGACGGUAUCCAACCA
This 389-nucleotide ribosomal RNA is filed under the name Latilactobacillus sakei. Its description in RNAcentral is "bacterial SSU rRNA". It matches the Rfam family "Bacterial small subunit ribosomal RNA", at positions 110 to 485 of the family's 1533-position model. Lineage: Bacteria; Bacillati; Bacillota; Bacilli; Lactobacillales; Lactobacillaceae. The record is from RNAcentral.